GACGAACGCUGGCGGCGUGCUUAACACAUGCAAGUCGAACGGAAAGGCCCCUUUGGGGGUACUCGAGUGGCGAACGGGUGAGUAACACGUGAGUAACCUGCCCUUGACUUCGGGAUAACUUCAGGAAACUGGGGCUAAUACCGGAUAGGAAUCCUUGCUGCAUGGUGGGGGUUGGAAAGCUUCGGCGGUUUUGGAUGGACUCGCGGCUUAUCAGCUUGUUGGUGGGGUAGUGGCUUACCAAGGCUUUGACGGGUAGCCGGCCUGAGAGGGCGACCGGCCACAUUGGGACUGAGAUACGGCCCAGACUCCUACGGGAGGCAGCAGUGGGGAAUAUUGCACAAUGGGCGGAAGCCUGAUGCAGCAACGCCGCGUGCGGGAUGACGGCCUUCGGGUUGUAAACCGCUUUCAGCAGGGGCGAAGCUUGUGGUGACGGUACCUGCAGAAGAAGCAUCGGCUAACUACGUG
Molecule: ribosomal RNA, 465 nt
Filed under: uncultured bacterium
Lineage: Bacteria
Description: partial 16S ribosomal RNA
Rfam family: Bacterial small subunit ribosomal RNA
Source: RNAcentral